GGCUCUGUGGCAGGGAGUGGGAGGGUGAUUAACAGGGGAAGAAUUAGGAAAGAGGACACGCAAGACCACAGUAAGAGAUGGAAAUAAGAGAAUAUUCCUGAUUUCCACUGGAUGACUUUGACUGGUAUGAUUUCAUUCUCUGAAAGUGUUAACCAGGGUGCAGCAUGGCCAGAAACCAUUCCGAGCCUCAUGAAGUGGGCAAGUCAGGUUUGGUCAUUUUUGGUAAUGUCAUUGCAUGUACACAGUUUAAGACAGAGCAUCUGGUGAUUCUCGGACCUUCAAGCAAGUGUCACAUCUCAGGUGAACCUUGGCAGUUUUAAGAUGAACAAAGUAAUCAAAGCAAAAAUGUCAAAUAAUAAUAAUAAUAAUGAUAUCAGAAGAAUGUCCAGUGCCAUGGUUGGAUUCCCAGAAGGCAGCAUCUGCUCAUGCCAUCAACAACAUGGUGCCAUUUCAGUCAUCCUCUUUUUGUCCCAAAGACAGAAAAAAAAUAGAAAAAAGAAAGAGAAAAAGACACCACGAACCGUCUAUCCUCCUGGUAAUACAAAUACACCUGUAAAUAAACAUGUCAAUGUCUACACACAACGCACAUUUAUGCAGAAUCCAUCCUCUCGGUGCUUCCGUAGUUAUCAAGUAAAAGUCCUUCUAAGCCUAAGAAAUGAUAGUAUUAAUUCAGUCUUGGGGUGUGGGGGGAAAGGUGGACUAUCAUCAAAUAAAAAAGGCGAGGCUAAUUAAGUGACAUCCACUGGGGACUGGGAAAAGAAGAGACUUCUUGUGGGAAAGUAAUUAUAUCUUCAUUGACCCUCCUGGGGUACCCCCAGUGGCAGGGACUCUGCCUCGCGGUGUGACAUCUCCUUUCGGGAUGAGCAGCCAGUCACCUCGAGAAGCCCCCUUCUCCAUGGAUGCGUUUUCUAAUCAUUUCACAUGAUUGAGCCUCCAGCAAGUGAUGCUUUACUUAAUUCCUUUCCGCCUGUAGGGUGUGAGGUUUGGAGGGCCUCUCGUCAAAACUUUGGAGGGCUCUGUCAGUUUGAAAAGAACAUGACCUUUAAAUUGUAUCAGUAUGUUUGCUGGUGCAUAAGGGAGAGGAAAAGGUUCGUCCUGAUGGAAAACCACUCAGAAGCCAAGGAGUAAUUCAGAGGGAACCAGCCCAGGAAGAAUCAAGAAAGCUGCCCACAGUGUCAUUCUUCAGCUGAGAAAAGAGAGAGUUGACUAACUCCUCGGACUGGAGUGAGGACUCACAGAGGUGGUGAGAAGCCAUCCUCUCUUGAAUGGGGGCUCCCACUGUACAUCUGGCACCCACUUCACAGAUUCUGGGGGAUGUCAACACCAGCACUGCUGAGCUGUGUGACCUUGAGCAAGACAGUUAGCCUCUCUGAACCUCAGUGUCCUUCUCUGUAGGCUGGAGAUUGAUAUACCUUCAUUAUCGGGGUAUGAGAGUGUUAUAAGGUGGGAUGGUGGAACACGCUGACUGGUCUGGGCUAUUCAAGAUCCAUGAACUGGAAGAUGCUUUCUUAUAACUCAGAGAAAAGAGAUGAAAAUGAAUCAAAGAACAGGAAGGAGACAAGCUCAGGAGAGUCACCCUAAGAAGGAUGUGUGGAAGACUUGACUGGAGGAUCAAAAUGUGUCGGGGGAAGGUGUACAAGGAGGAGUAAGGACACAGAUGUCCUGACUUCACACAGUGGGGGAUUAGAAGCCACCAUCAAACACAGAUGAAACAGGAAUAAAAGUAGUAGUACAUUACUUAAGCUUUAAAAGGGUAAGACUCCUGGGAAUUUGGAAGCUGAGACUUGAGGCAAGUAUUUAGGAUUUGCUGUCUCACCUCCCUGCUAUGACAGUCCUUAAUUAAUGGAGAUGAUGGAGAACAGCUUGCUGGGCUGAGUGGCAGGAGCCAUGCAGCUGCUGGGGCUGGAGUGGGUCAGGAAGCUUCAUCAAUCUGGGACACAUGACGUGCUUGGUGGUGGCGGAGCCUGACGCAUCCCUCUUCAUCGACAUUGUGUCAAUAGGAGCAGAGGCAUUUAGCUGUGUAAACACAGAGCUUCAGUGGCAGCACCCUAAAUGCUUAGCUGAUAGAUCCGGAAUUAAAUACAGACCUAGAAACUGGAGUUGGAAAACUUCCUGGCAGCACUCCUUCCCUGCCAUCCCGGUGAUCCCCUUCUGGAUGGAGGGUGUGGAGCUCAGCACAUUCACGUCUGCAGUUCUCAGAGAACCAAGUGUUAAGGAAUGUCAGGGAAGGAAGAAGGCAGCCAGCCAGGAAGGGGAGGUCCUGGCCUGAGCACGCCAGGCACAGAGGGAUAGAGGGUAGGGAGGAAACUGCACCUGUCUCCAACCCUCGACCCCAGCCCCGAAACACGACAUUGGCUGAAACAGAUUAAAAGCAUAAAAUGGCCCAAAGAAAUGGGAGAAGGUUGGCCUCUGGUCGGGCAAACAUGAGGGCAUGAAGAUAUAUAAUGUCCCACACGGGAGGAAACCCUUGCCGGGCCCCUCAGGAUUUAUAACAAGCUCACCUGAAGGAGAAACUUCAGGGGCACUUACACCAUCAGAUACCUAGAAAGGAGCUGUCAUUUCCUCACUGAAGAGUUUGCAAGCAGAUGGUAAAAGGGGUUUAAUUUGAAAACACUGAAACAUCGUGUUCGCUCAAAACCAUGACAAUUGCAGUUUUAUUGUCUCCACUCAGGAAAAUGUGUGUCUGGAUCAUCUUGUGGCCCGAAUGGGGAGAAAAGAUGCAGUAUUCCAAAGCAGGAGAUUCACUGAAAAAGAUGUUUAAGAAGUUGCUGAUGAAGAAAAGUUCAGGAUUCACAGCUCCAUACAAAGGGAAUAGCCACUUUUCUCAUUUUGAGAUAUGACUACUAACAAGUAUUAUUCUGCAUCUUCAGCCAGGCUGUGGAAGGCCCCAUUCUUUCUGUAACACAGAUGUUCAAUUGGAAUUUUCCAUCUGGUCACAUAAUUCUGCUUUGGGAUUUAACAGGUUAACUUGGCACUGGUCACUGGCCUUGGAGGGCAAAAUAUGAUAGUUCAGCAUAGAUUCUAUUUGUUGAUAACUCAUCAUAGCCACAUUGGCAUCAAUAAGUUUUCUGUAGGGCACACUUUUCCUUUAAUGUGGACACAGUCACAUAAUAAUAUGCUUAUGGUGCAGACGUUGGUUCUAAACUCACUUUGCAUUAUCUGUAUCUGUAUCUGCAUCUAUAUCUGUAUCUGUAUCUAUCUGUAUCUACAUCUGU
This 3215-nucleotide long non-coding RNA is filed under the name Homo sapiens (human). Its description in RNAcentral is "HSALNT0397359". The record is from RNAcentral. Lineage: Eukaryota; Metazoa; Chordata; Mammalia; Primates; Hominidae.